CUUUAUAUAAUUCAGUUACUGCACUGGAUGGGAAAAGGAAGACCAACCAAGCAACCACCUUAUCAAAAAUACAAACCAAAUGAACCAACCGGGCGCGGUGGCUCAAGCCUGUAA
This is a long non-coding RNA of Sapajus apella (tufted capuchin), 114 nucleotides long. RefSeq lists it as uncharacterized. The transcript has 3 exons. The record is from RefSeq and is a predicted model, not a curated record. NCBI's taxonomy places the organism in Eukaryota, Metazoa, Chordata, Mammalia, Primates, Cebidae.